Long non-coding RNA from Sphaerodactylus townsendi, 166 nucleotides. RefSeq lists it as uncharacterized. The transcript is spliced from 3 exons. NCBI's taxonomy places the organism in Eukaryota, Metazoa, Chordata, Lepidosauria, Squamata, Sphaerodactylidae. The record is from RefSeq and is a predicted model, not a curated record.
ACUCCCACACACGCCAGCUGGGUGACCUUGGGCUAGUCACAGCUUUUCAGAGCUCUCUCAGCCCCACCUACCUCACAGGGUGUUUGUUGUGAGGGGGGAAGGGCAAGGAGGAUUGUAAGCUCCCUUUGAGUCUCCUGCAGGAGAGAAAGGGGAUAUAAAUCCAAAC